GCCCAAAUUCUCUAGAUUACAGAGCCUGGGGUCAAAAUUAAAGUGCUGAUUCUUUUUUGUGGGUGGAGGCCGAGUUUAGGAAGGUAAAAGUGAAGAAAAAGGCACAUCAAGCAAUGCAACAUGAUGCAUUACCAUGCCAGCAAGGACUUCCAACAAACCAUGAUGAGAAACAGCAGGCCACUUAGCAGGUUUGUGCCACUAGAAGAUAACUCUCCCGUACUUCAGUGCAACUUCAGUGAUGCAUCACCCAGUCCGUUGACACCAGCUCCAGAAGGAAGAUUCCGUGCCCUGUGUUACGGCAUUUCGUCCUGAGAGGAAGAAGCGAAGCAGUGCAGGUGGGAGGAUGUGCGGGCCGCGCUGGUCUGAGCUUCAGUUCUGACUCCAGGGAGCUCAGCAGAGGCGGCAGCAGUCCAGGAGCCCUGGAUAAAGUCAUCUGCCAAUCCACAGAUAGGCUAACCACAGCAAAUGGCCAGUUAUUGUAUGUAUUAACAUACAUGACGUCUUGAUUUUUCUUUGACAGGCAAGACCCUCCACCAGCAAAUGGAUCAUGGCUCCCUUUAUUGCUGUGCUCACUUUAUUGCUGUACUCACUUUAUUGCAGUGGUCUGGAACCAAACCCACAGCAUCUCUGAGGUAUGUC
Molecule: long non-coding RNA, 639 nt
Organism: Myotis brandtii (Brandt's bat)
Lineage: Eukaryota; Metazoa; Chordata; Mammalia; Chiroptera; Vespertilionidae
Exons: 4
Source: RefSeq, a predicted model, not a curated record